ACACUGGGCUACAGGUACACACACAGGGCUACAGGUACCUCAACACACUGGGCUACAGGUACCUCAACACACUGGGCUACAGGUACCUUAACACACUGGGCUACAGGUACCUCAACACACUGGGCUACAGGUACCUUAACACACUGGGCUACAGGUACCUCAACACACUGGGCUACAGGUACACACACACACUGGGCUACAGGUACACACACACACUGGGCUACAGGUACCUCAACACACACACUGGGCUACAGGUACCUCAACACACACACUGGGCUACAGGUACACACACACACUGGGCUACAGGUACACACACACACUGGGCUACAGGUACACACACACACAGGGCUACAGGUACACACACACACUGGGCUACAGGUACACACACACACAGGGCUACAGGUACCUCAACACACUGGGCUACAGGUACCUCAACACACACACUGGGCUACAGGUACACACACAAUUAUUAUGUCAAUACUAGGUAACGCGACACACUCACCCUCUCUCUGCCCCC
Oncorhynchus keta (chum salmon) is the source of this 517-nucleotide long non-coding RNA. RefSeq lists it as uncharacterized. Lineage: Eukaryota; Metazoa; Chordata; Actinopteri; Salmoniformes; Salmonidae. The record is from RefSeq and is a predicted model, not a curated record. The transcript is spliced from 4 exons.